Molecule: ribosomal RNA, 551 nt
Filed under: uncultured Glomeromycotina
Lineage: Eukaryota; Fungi; Glomeromycota
Also listed under: 1 other name
Description: SSU rRNA
Rfam family: Eukaryotic small subunit ribosomal RNA
Source: RNAcentral
UUGGAGGGCAAGUCUGGUGCCAGCAGCCGCGGUAAUUCCAGCUCCAAUAGCGUAUAUUAAAGUUGUUGCAGUUAAAAAGCUCGUAGUUGAAUUUCGGAAUCCAUCCGUCGGUCGGGCCUCACGGUCCGCACUGGUGUGAUGGAUUUCUACCUUCUGAAUAACCAGCAUGUCAUUAAUUUGGUGCGUUGGGGAAGCAGGACUGUUACCUUGAAAAAAUUAGAGUGCUUAAAGCAGGCUAGUGCCUGAAUACAUUAGCAUGGAAUAAUGAAAUAGGACGGCAUGGUUCUAUUUUGUUGGUUUCUAGGAUCACCGUAAUGAUUAAUAGGGAUAGUUGGGGGCAUUAGUAUUCAAUUGUCAGAGGUGAAAUUCUUGGAUUUAUUGAAGACUAACUUCUGCGAAAGCAUUUGCCAAGGAUGUUUUCAUUAAUCAAGAACGAAAGUUAGGGGAUCGAAGACGAUCAGAUACCGUCGUAGUCUUAACCAUAAACUAUGCCGACUAGGGAUCGGACGAUGUUAAUUUUUUAAUGACUCGUUCGGCGCCUUACGGGAAAC